CCAUCCCAUCGUGACUUCAGCAUCCUCCUCUGCCUUGAUUGCUGCAGUCUGAAUGCUUGUGUCUCCUUGAAUUCCUACCUAGAAAGAUCGUAGCUCUCAGCUAGUGCUCCAGCGCAAGGUGCACUGAUCUCCCCACCAUGAUGAGAGUGGGCUAAACCUCUAAAACUGUAAGCCAGCCCCCAACUAAACACUUUUAUAAGA
Long non-coding RNA from Mastomys coucha (southern multimammate mouse), 201 nucleotides. RefSeq lists it as uncharacterized. The record is from RefSeq and is a predicted model, not a curated record. The transcript is spliced from 2 exons. NCBI's taxonomy places the organism in Eukaryota, Metazoa, Chordata, Mammalia, Rodentia, Muridae.